CCCUUAGAUGUUCUGGGCCGCACGCGCGCUACACUGACGAAUGCAACGAGCUUAUAACCUUGGCCGAAAGGUCUGGGUAAUCUCCAAAUUUCGUCGUGAUGGGGAUAGAUUAUUGCAAUUAUUAAUCUUCAACGAGGAAUGCCUAGUAAGCGCAAGUCAUCAGCUUGCAUUGAUUACGUCCCUGCCCUUUGUACACACCGCCCGUCGCUCCUACCGAUUGAAUGAUCCGAUGAAUAUCAUGGAUUGAGGAUGCAAGUAGGUUAGCCUAUCUUCAUCUUCGAGAAGUGAAGUAAAUCUUAUCAUUUAGAGGAAGGAGAAGUCGUAACA
RNAcentral lists this ribosomal RNA (327 nucleotides) under uncultured eukaryote. RNAcentral describes it as "partial 18S ribosomal RNA". It matches the Rfam family "Eukaryotic small subunit ribosomal RNA", at positions 1470 to 1796 of the family's 1831-position model. The record is from RNAcentral.